AAUGAAAUAUCCCAGGGAUAUGAAACCAUGUCAUCAAAGAGUUCAGAAAACCAUGCAUUGAUGGGAACGCAGCUGCAUAUCAAAGCCAUUUCAUCCUGAAAGAUAAGAGGCUUCGUCCAGCUCCCAUCCAAGUUGCCUUCAAAAGACCCACUGCCUCCCUCAGUCAGAAAAAAAGUCCAAGAUGUCUAGAAAUGUUUCUAAUGCAUUGGCCAGUGUGGUUGAGUCAUAUAUGCUUUAUGGACCAGCUGCUAAGGAAGGGAUGCAGGCAGGUCUGGCCCCAGUGCUAGAGAAGGAGCAACUGUGUGGAGAAGGACAGAGGGCGAACAGCUUCAUAGGAGUGGAGUGAAGACCACAAGUUAUCCAGCAUAAACAGGCAAUGAGCAAGUCCGUAGACUCACUUGAAUUCACUUGAAAGCAAAGGCAAAGAACAUUUGUAUCAACACAUUCCAGGACUUCCUAGCAUAGCACAACUAAAUUCAGCAGCCUUGUGAUAUUGAUUUGAUUAAAAAUGGUUUAAGACUUGUAAAUGUCACUGGAACUUAGCAAAAUGAACGUUAUUAAAUCCUUCUGGUGAUGGGGAAAACUAACAAAGGGAUUUGCAGCGGUUUCUGUAAUUAAUUGCUCUGUCAUGAUUUAUAUUAACUUACAGUAUGACUCCAUUAGCGCGGACCUG
Long non-coding RNA from Hemicordylus capensis (graceful crag lizard), 673 nucleotides. RefSeq lists it as uncharacterized. The transcript is spliced from 3 exons. Lineage: Eukaryota; Metazoa; Chordata; Lepidosauria; Squamata; Cordylidae. The record is from RefSeq and is a predicted model, not a curated record.